This is a long non-coding RNA of Ctenopharyngodon idella (grass carp), 2011 nucleotides long. RefSeq lists it as uncharacterized. The record is from RefSeq and is a predicted model, not a curated record. The transcript is spliced from 4 exons. Lineage: Eukaryota; Metazoa; Chordata; Actinopteri; Cypriniformes; Xenocyprididae.
GUUGCCUAGAAACAAACAAACAAAAUGUUAAAAUCUAAAGACUGCCCACACAUAGACGGCAUAUUAUGUAAAUAUUGAAGACAGAUUUAGAAACAAAAUAUAUAUUUACAUUGGUACUGUGAUGGGAAAUAUACAACAACGUGAUACAAUUCACACUCUGAGGGAGGAGAAUGCGUACCUACAUCACAGACUGAAAAACCUCACGCAGACACUGCGAGAACUGAGGAAACUGCUUCUGGAUCACUCGCGUGUGUCUACUGUGAAUCAUGAUAGUGACAAGAUACAUGCAUGGAAUGAAUGGAUUAAGAAUGGUAUCAGCGCGGAAACUCAUCUCAUGUUAGAACAAGCUUUCUGCUUACCAGAUCUUCAUGCCAGUGCUAAUUUAUAUUUUCCACAGGAAAUUCUUCUUGUUCUGUCAGGUCUCACUUGGAUUGGGAUACUUUUCAUGUAGAUAUGGACAUAAUAUGCAAAUCCAACAUUCAUCAGGAAAGCUCAGGCUAUAAUUAAAAUGUGUAAAUAUUAAUGUUAAUAGUAAAGUUUAAUUUGUUAACAUUAGUUAACUAACAUUAACAAACAACACUGCUUUCAUAAAUCUUAGUUAAUAUUAAUUUCAACAUUUACUAAUAGAUUUUGAAAACCAAGUUGUAUUUGUUAACAAUAAUUAAUGCACUGUGAGCAAGAAUGAAUUUAUUUUAUUAAUGUUAUAUAUGUUAACUAAUGUAUUACCUAAUGUUAACAUAUGAGACCUUAUUGUGUUACCAUAUAAAUAAAUGAAUAAUGCUUUAACAUUUUAUAUAAUCGUCUCAAUUAAAAAGCAAUGUCCUUGAUUAGUCUGCUGACUUAGGCUUAUUUUAAUAUGCUGAUUUUAAUAUCAGCAUUUUACAUUGAGUCGAUUUAGGUCACAGAACUUUGAGAAAGAAUCAAUAGCUUACUUGAUUAAUAAUACUCAUGACGCUUGGUUAUAAAAUCAUGUGAGGGCGAAUAAAUGAGAUUUGCUUGUGAGAGAACUGUUCACACAAACACUUUCCAGACACUUUUUACAGACAAGGCUUAAGCCUAGUUCCAGACUAAAAUGUAUGUUUGAGCUGUCUUAACUGAAAGCAACUUGCACUGACUUAUCUUAAAAUAUGUCAGUGCCACUGUUUUGCCUCAAAAUGCACACCAGUAAUGUUUUUGUUUUUUUCUUUUUGUUUUUUCUGAAGCACUUUUAUAAAGGCUCCUUAAAUGUCUUAAUUGAACUAAGGCCUAAUCCUGGCUUAAUCUAAGCCCUGUCUGUGAAACCAGGUCUUUAUGUUUAUAUUGAGCUGAGUGUGUCAGGAAUCCAGACACAGCCCACAGCGUUACACUGUGAAUAAUGACUAAAUAUAAAUAAAUAUACAUAACACUUGAUUAUAUGAAUUUGCUGUCUUUAUUAGCUGAUUUGAUGGACAGAUGUGGAUUAAAGAUCAUCCAUGGCAAAAUGUAAAUAAAGAAUAAACCAGCUUGUGGUUCUGCCAAAGAUGUUUUCUCUGUUGGUUCUGUUCAGCACAUGAAGAGGUAGCUUUUCGCUGAUAAUUACUGUAGCAACAUGAAAUGAUUUGGAGCAGACUUUGUGUGUUUGAUGUUCCACACUGCAAAUAUCACAUUAGCCAACAGAAUUGGCCUUUGUUCAGUUAAUUAAAAUCACCCUCUUGCAUAGAUUAGAAAUCAGGCUAUUUGUUCUUAAAUUUACAUCUGAUUGUGCUGAAUUGAUAAAAGAAAUGAAGACGAUUUACAUUUGCAAAGACUUGCUACAAUUUGACUGAAAACACAUGGUAGUUGAUAACUUUCUAUUUAUAUUCCUAAAACUGCAUAUUGUAAAAUCAUUAUUUUUGUUUCUGCUAUCUGACUGUUUACAUUAAAACUUAAGAUCAGAUUCACAGAUAACUUUACUGCAGCUGAACAUAAAGUAAAUGUUGUCAAAAAUUGCCUAUGGGCCAAUUUUUUUUUGUCCAAAGGCCUUAAUAAUAAUAAUAAAAAACAAAGAUAUGAC